This is a long non-coding RNA of Pleuronectes platessa (European plaice), 1349 nucleotides long. RefSeq lists it as uncharacterized. The transcript is spliced from 3 exons. NCBI's taxonomy places the organism in Eukaryota, Metazoa, Chordata, Actinopteri, Pleuronectiformes, Pleuronectidae. The record is from RefSeq and is a predicted model, not a curated record.
UCUAGAUCUGGCUGAGACCGGCAUGUGACCAAAUGAUGGAUGUUUUCUGUUCUUUUGCUGAACCUCUGAACAGAUUCCUGUGUUCUGCUGCUUCUUCUGAAUCAAGAGGAACGAGAGCUGUUUGUGGGGACUCGUCUCCAAGAGGACAGGAAGAGACAUUCAGAAGAAAUCUGUCUCAAUCAACCUUAUAGACUUUGAGUGGAGUAUGCUAUAGGUCGGGGUGUGACGUUCGAUCAUUUUAGUUUGUGGAUUUCUGUCUCUUGGUGUUUUCUGUUUCCUGUUUUAUUUUGUAGUCUCGCUUUCCUUGUGUUGUUCCAGCUUGUUGGGUGUGUCACUUCCUGUCUUGGUGAUUGUCUUCAUAUAUAUGAUUGUCUUUCACAGUCCUCAUGUGUUGAACCUGUGGCUAGUUAUCCCAGCCUUCCCUGUGUCUCUAUUUUUAAGCCUCUGUGUUCCCUUUGCCCUUUGUCGGUUCGUUACUCGUUUUUACACGUUGUCAUAUACGGUUCGUCGUGUCAUGCUGUCUCGUCCAGCUUCCCCUGCUUAUCUUUCCUUGUUCUACGUGCGCCUUGUCGCCAGUGGUUACCUGUUAGUGUUCAUGUUUAAAGACUCCUUUUAUAUUAAAUAUCUUUUUUGUUAUAACCUCUGCAUCCUGUGUCCAUCUCCUUCCUCAAACCGUGACACAGGGAGAGCUCUCUCACCAGGUCAUUUGUCAAUUUGUCUCUUUAAUUUUGUACAUGUAAUCAUAUUGUUGUUCUCCUGUCCACUAAAUAUGAAUCAAUUCAUUUCCAAAUGUGGGUAUGCUUCCUUUCCAUGUACACAAAAGGGAACAUGCUCCUUUGUCCCAGGGCACGUAUACCAUUGUAGGAUUUGAUCUCUUUAUUUGGCUUUAUUUCUCUCUGUUAGAAAUUAGGAUCAGUUAUUGGGUGUAUUUACUUCAAGAAUGUCACUUGUUGUUCUUUCAUGUAAUCAAGUUGCAGAGCUCCCACCGUCGGUGCUUCACACACGAUGCCUCAGUAAGAGUGUUGGGAGCAACGCGGUAUAAAGUAACGCGUUACUGUAAUUCCACUACUUUUAGCGGUAACGAGAAUGUAACGAAGUAUUUUUUUUAAUCAAGUAACGCAGUUAAAAUUGCUGGAAUUUAAAUAAGUUCGUUACUCGUGUUACUCUCUUUUGCAGGGGUGCCCAAUACGUCGAUCGCACGACUGGACAAGAGGCAGUCAUGAUGACGCGCCUGCGCACGUACCAGCCCUUUUCUUUUUUUCGACACCAAACUCUUGUGAAGAGGAGAACAUAAUACAUGUGUAGGCCUACUUUGAAAUAAAUGAAACCUAGAACUAUGCUAUUUUUGC